RNAcentral lists this ribosomal RNA (478 nucleotides) under uncultured bacterium. Its description in RNAcentral is "bacterial SSU rRNA". It matches the Rfam family "Bacterial small subunit ribosomal RNA", at positions 29 to 507 of the family's 1533-position model. The record is from RNAcentral.
ACGAACGCUGGCGGCGUGCUUAACACAUGCAAGUCGAACGGAGCACCCUUGAAUGAGACUUCGGUCAAAGGAAAGGAAUGCUUAGUGGCGGACUGGUGAGUAACGCGUGAGGAACCUGCCUUUCAGAGGGGGACAACAGCUGGAAACGGCUGCUAAUACCGCAUGACGCAUUCGGAUGGCAUCAUCUGAAUGCCAAAGAUUUAUCGCUGAAAGAUGGCCUCGCGUCUGAUUAGCUAGUUGGUAAGGUAACGGCUUACCAAGGCGACGAUCAGUAGCCGGCUUGAGAGAGUGAACGGCCACAUUGGGACUGAGACACGGCCCAAACUCCUACGGGAGGCAGCAGUGGGGAAUAUUGCACAAUGGGGGAAACCCUGAUGCAGCGACGCCGCGUGAGUGAAGAAGUAUUUCGGUAUGUAAAGCUCUAUCAGCAGGGAAGAUAAUGACGGUACCUGACUAAGAAGCCCCGGCUAACUACGUG